UAAAGGGCAUAUAAGUGUUGGCAAGCCAAACCAAAAUGGCUUGGUGAUGGGGAGCCCAAUUCAAUGUGUAGCAUGCCAGUUUAGUAUUUACAAUCCUAGGUUCAUAAUUCCCAACAUUCAUAAACAUAAGAGGAUCAUGCCCUUGCUCUCUAAAAAUAUAGGUGAAUGCUCGAGUAUGAAGAGCAGUGCUUGGAGCUUUUGCUGGUAUGUUUCUCUCUAAUCAGUAAUUCUUUAGGCUUAACUGGCAUAAAAUAACAAGCAAAAGAACCAUCAUAACUUGUUCAUGAAACCUAAAGAUUCAUAACAGUUGCUAAGCCUCCUAAAAUUUAGUCAUGUUCUUUAACACUUGUAAAAGAUGUAUUCUUGGCCCCACAGUUGAAGUGGUUCAAGUAGAAUUUGAGCAGCAUGCUACAAAGAGCCAAUUUUAUCAGGUUAAUGUGGACUUAAAACAAAAUUUCGCUACUUGGUUACAAUUAUAUAAUUGCCCCUCCCCCACCCUUACCCCCAUACAUUUUGAAAUCUGUAUACAGUUCCUUUCAUUAAGUUAUUGAAAAUAUCACAUCAACCAUAUUGGGAAACUACAAGAAAAAUCAAAAUAAUAGCUUCUGCAAUAUCAUGCACAACCGCAAUCUUUAUACACCUGUUUCAACGAGGACAAAGACAUUCAAUAAGCAACUCCCAUAAAAGGAGGAAGCAGAAAAACAAAUAUAGAAU
This 714-nucleotide unclassified non-coding RNA is filed under the name Hevea brasiliensis (rubber tree). The record is from RNAcentral. Lineage: Eukaryota; Viridiplantae; Streptophyta; Magnoliopsida; Malpighiales; Euphorbiaceae.